Molecule: ribosomal RNA, 386 nt
Filed under: uncultured Anaerolineaceae bacterium
Lineage: Bacteria; Bacillati; Chloroflexota; Anaerolineae; Anaerolineales; Anaerolineaceae
Description: bacterial SSU rRNA
Rfam family: Bacterial small subunit ribosomal RNA
Source: RNAcentral
GACAUACAAGUAGUAGGGAAGGAAACUGGACCGACCUUCGGGAGCUUGUACAGGUGCUGCAUGGCUGUCGUCAGCUCGUGUCGUUGAGAUGUUCGGUUAAGUCCGCUAACGAGCGCAACCCUCGCUGUGUGUUUACAAGUGUCACACGGAACUGCCGGUCAUAAACCGGAGGAAGGUGGGAUGACGUCAAGUCAGCAUGGCCUUUAUAUCCUGGGCUACACACACGCUACAAUGGGAAGGGACAAUAGGUUGCGAAGCCGCGAGGCGGAGCCAAUCCAGCAAAACUUCCCUCAGUUCAGAUUGCAGGCUGCAACCCGCCUGCAUGAAGUUGGAGUUGCUAGUAAACGCAGGUCAGCCAUACUGCGUUGAAUACGUUCCCGGGGCUU